Molecule: long non-coding RNA, 261 nt
Organism: Halichondria panicea
Lineage: Eukaryota; Metazoa; Porifera; Demospongiae; Suberitida; Halichondriidae
Exons: 3
Source: RefSeq, a predicted model, not a curated record
UACCUAUAGGUAGUUGGGUAGUGAAGUAGUCGAGUAGUUAUAGGUAUAGUGAAGUAGUUGGGUAGUGCAGUAGCUAGGUAGUUGGGUAGUGAAGUAGUUGGGUAGUGAAGUAGUCAAGUAGUUGGGUAGUUGGGUAGUGCAGUAGCUGGGUAGUGAAGUAGUUGGGUAGUCAAGUAUAUAGUCAAGUAGUUGGGUAGUGCAGUAGCUAGGUAGUUGGGUAUAUAUAUAGUGAAGUAGUUGGGUAGUGAAGUAGUCGAGUAG